GAUGAAGAACGUAGCGAAAUGCGAUAAGUAAUGUGAAUUGCAGAAUUCAGUGAAUCAUCGAAUCUUUGAACGCACAUUGCGCCCGCCAGUAUUCUGGCGGGCAUGCCUGUUCGAGCGUCAUUUCAACCAUCAAGCCCCCGGCUUGUGUUGGGGACCUGCGGCUGCCGCAGGCCCUGAAAACCAGUGGCGGGCUCGCUAGUCACUCCGAGCGUAGUAAUACAUCUCGCUCAGGGCGUGCUGCGGGUUCCGGCCGUUAAAAAGCCUUUUUUACCCAAGGUUGACCUCGGAUCAGGUAGGAAGACCCGCUGAACUUAAGCAUAUCAAUAAGCGGAGGA
Molecule: unclassified non-coding RNA, 335 nt
Filed under: soil metagenome
Description: partial contains 5.8S ribosomal RNA, internal transcribed spacer 2, and large subunit ribosomal RNA
Rfam family: 5.8S ribosomal RNA (bases 1-120)
Source: RNAcentral